RNAcentral lists this ribosomal RNA (348 nucleotides) under uncultured bacterium. RNAcentral describes it as "partial 16S ribosomal RNA". It matches the Rfam family "Bacterial small subunit ribosomal RNA", at positions 338 to 683 of the family's 1533-position model. The record is from RNAcentral.
CCUACGGGAGGCAGCAGUGAGGAAUAUUGGUCAAUGGACGCAAGUCUGAACCAGCCAUGCCGCGUGCAGGAAGACGGCUCUAUGAGUUGUAAACUGCUUUUGUACGAGGGUAAACGCAGAUACGUGUAUCUGUCUGAAAGUAUCGUACGAAUAAGGAUCGGCUAACUCCGUGCCAGCAGCCGCGGUAAUACGGAGGAUGUAAGCGUUAUCCGGAUUUAUUGGGUUUAAAGGGUGCGUAGGCUGUCGGCUAAGUUAGAGGUGAAAUCUUGUGGCUCAACUUCGAAAUUGCCGUGGAUACUGUAAGACAGGAGAGUGUGUGAGGAGGGCGGAAUGUGGGGUGGAGCGGUG